Molecule: unclassified non-coding RNA, 6691 nt
Filed under: Neodiprion pinetum (white pine sawfly)
Lineage: Eukaryota; Metazoa; Arthropoda; Insecta; Hymenoptera; Diprionidae
Description: solute carrier organic anion transporter family member 3A1, transcript variant X3
Source: RNAcentral
CAUACCGUCAAAGCCAUAGCUAUAAGUCUAUGGUCAAAGCAAAAACACAGCUGGUCGGUCUACGUCUCUGAACUUUGACGGUGCCGAUGGGAAGUCCAAAUGAUGCGGAAGUGUUACACUGUAGUUUGCGCACCGAAAUUCGCAUCGUUAUCGUCCGCCGCGUCUCGUGCAGCAUCUAAAUAUCCUGGCAUUUUUGUCAUUUGUGCCUAAUGCCCGCGGCCAGUUUGUGAUACCUCGUCCCGUGUCCUCGGUGUGGUGAUAAUCCGUAAUUCCUUCUCUCCUCUCGCUUAUUUCUCGGUUUUUCUCUCCCGUUUAUCCCUAAUCGGUUUUUUUUUCUUCUACUAUUUUAUGCGUUUGUGUUUACCUUCGGAACGGGACAAUCGGCAGUUUCUCUCCUCCCACACAAAGGAACCCUCAAGGCAUCUGCGCUGGCCUCUGUUCUUUGAUGAAUAUGACGAUGGAGUGAUGCUGGUCUCACCGUAGUUGAAAGCACGAAACCAGAACGUCCUCAGAGACGAACCUGCAAUCAAAGAUGGCGUCUACUAGCGGGCACAAAAGAAAUGGAUCCAGUUCCAGCAUGUUCGGUCACAAACGCACCGAAUCCGGCGGUGGCUUUAUUGGCCACAAACGUACGGAAAGUGGCCACAAAAGAAACGAAAGCAUAUCAAGUGCUCUUGGCCAUAAACGGUCAGAAAGUGGUCACAAAAGGUCCGAAUCUGGCAGCAACUAUCACACGGGUCACAGGAGAAACGAAAGCAUGUACGCGAUGACUGGGCUCUACGCCGAAAGCACGGCUGCUGGAGAAGACGCGGAUUUGUCACAGCCAAGCAGCAGUAGACUGACACAUGACACAGUGAUCAGGUGUCACAGUAGGAAUCCAAGUUCCGGUAUUGUUGAUCACAGAGAUUUCAUCAUCAAAUGUCACAGCAGGAAUCCCAGUGCUUCCAUGGUCGACAGGACUGAAAAGGAAAGAGCGCAGACACCACCGAUUAAUCCAGAUUCAAAGGACUGUGGAAUUUUAACAUGCAGGCCAAUUUUUAUACAAAGAUUCGCAGGGAUAAAGGUGUUCGUAUUCCUUCUGUCAUUCCUUGUUACGCUGCAGCAGGCACUUAGCUCUGGUUACAUUAAUUCUGUAAUAACAACAAUAGAGAAAAGAUUUGAGAUACCGUCAAGCCUCUCAGGUCUGAUCGCCAGUUCAUACGAAAUUGGCAAUGUAAUAACGGUGAUAUUUGUAAGCUAUUUAGGCAGCCGACGGCAUAUUCCUGUUUGGAUAGCAAUUGGCGCCGUGAUAAUGGGCAUUGGCUCAAUGAUUUUUAUGGUGCCUCAUUUCACAGCCGAACCUAACUUAGGUACAGCAUCGAAUAACUCAAGUUCAGAUAACAUAUGCCGUGGUGUAUCGCUGCGCGAACAAGACAUGGGCUUAGGCCGACUUUCUACCGGUUUAUCAUCGCCGCCUUUAGCCCCACACAAUAAUCUUCGCGGUGACAACUGCAUACAAGGGUCUCCUUCUACCGCUGGUCCGGUGAUGCUUUUCGUACUUGCGCAAUUGCUUCUUGGUUGUGGUGGUUCACCUUUGUUCACUCUCGGAACAACUUACAUUGAUGAUCACGUCAGGCCGGAGAGUGCCUCUUUGUACAUCGGCUGCAUGUACAGUAUGGCAGCUUUUGGACCUGUUCUUGGAUUUCUUCUCGGUGCUUAUUUAUUGUCUUUUCACAUGGAUUCGUUCGCCGGAACUAUCAUCAGCAUAGAUCCAGGCGAUCAUAGAUGGGUUGGAAUGUGGUGGGGUGGAUUUUUACUCUGCGGUUUGCUGCUGGUAUUAGUGGCAGUGCCGUUUUUCAGUUUUCCGAAAACUUUACAACGUGAGAAAGAGAAAAUUCGGAUAAUUGAAAAGAGCAAGCCAAUAACAGCAAAGGAGAAAGAGCAGAACAAAGAACCCAUGAAGGAACAAACCUCUGACAAUACCGCUUAUGGCAAAGACGUCAAAGACAUUCCACGGAGCAUGUGGAGACUGGUGUGCAAUCCUGUUUACGUGGUGACAUGUCUUGGUGCCUGCAUGGAGCUGGUAAUAGUUUCGGGCUUCGUUGUGUUUCUGCCAAAGUAUUUAGAGACGCAAUUCAGUUUGGGAAAAAGCCAGGCCAGCAUAUUCACUGGUUCAAUCGCGAUCCCCGGUGCUUGUAUCGGCAUAUUCUUUGGUGGCUGUCUACUGAAACGUUUGGAACUGAGGCCUAAGGGUGCUGUUCAAUUCGUCCUAGUCUCAAAUAUAAUCUGCCUUGUUUGUUACGGCCUUUUGUUUUUCCUUGGCUGUGACAAUGUCAAAAUGGCCGGCACCACCAUACCCUAUUUUAACAGCACGACCAAAGGGCCUGAACCAUUUCAAGUUAAUCUUACUGCCGCCUGCAACUUUGGGUGCGAAUGCCGAAUGACUGACGUUGAACCAGUUUGUGGCAACAAUGGCUUGACUUAUUUUAGCCCCUGCCACGCGGGUUGCACGGCAUUCAGCUCAAAGUCCAACUUUACCAACUGCGCGUGCAUUCACGGUAAUCUCAGCAUGGUGCCACCAGCUGCGCCGGAAUUCGCUGAAGUUACUGUUGUUCCCGUUGCUACGGCUGGCCCAUGCACCUCGCCUUGUAGGACUAUAUUUCCGUUUCUUAUUCUAUUAUUCUUCAUGACCUUCAUCGUUGCUGUAACACAGAUGCCUUUAUUAAUGAUCGUAUUACGAUCCGUCUCUGAAGAGGAGCGGUCCUUUGCUCUUGGAAUGCAAUUUGUCAUCUUCAGAUUGUUUGGGUAUAUACCAGCACCUAUAUUGUUUGGCAAUUUGAUAGAUUCAACGUGCAUUCUGUGGAAAAGUACUUGCGGUGAAAAAGGGGGCCGUUGUUUGCUUUAUGACAUUGAACAAUUCAGAUACAGAUACGUCGGACUUUGUGCCGGUAUAAAGAUUCUGGCGUUGGCACUAUUUUUGGUCGAUUGGUGGCUAGUGAGAAGGAGAAGACACCUCGAAGAACAUCCGCCACCAUUGACAGUCAACGAAGUUGUCGGAUCGAUAAUCAGCCUGGACAAAUUGUUUGAAGAAAGACCGCAACAUUUGAACACUGCUGAUGGUGACACAACUUCACCAAGCACCGAGGGGCCAACGCCAUCUUCGAUUUCGUCGCCCACCGAGCCAACAAAGUCUACAAAUCUUGAGGAAACGGAAUCAUCAAAUCACACCGAAGCGUCGAAUGACAUCAACAAUCCUCAAACAAAAGAUCCUUUUGACAUUCCUGACACAAGGCAAGCUCCGCUUGCCACAGAAGAUUUGGAGGUAGAGAUCAAGCGGCCGGACAGUACUGAAAAACUUCAUCCGAGUGUUUAAUGAGGGCUGGCAUUAGGAUAUUGAAUUUGAAUGUACAAUUCUCACAUGGCGAUUUCAAAAACCGUGUGGAAGGACCCCAACGUUAAUUUAUAUAUUGAAAAGAAAGGCGCUUGGCGGAGAGUUGCUGAAUAAUUUCUCAUGAAUUAAUGUCGCACUCCUCUACAAUAUAAAUGAAUUUAUAUAAAAGAAAGAGCAAAAAAAGACUUGCACCUAUAUCACUAGAAAUAAAUUUUUCAAAUUGACGCAUGGACGAAGUUUAUAAGUUUCAUCUCCUUGAACUCUGAAAUAGAGUCGUAAAAUUGUCCAUUUUCCCGCGCAUGAAGAGAAAAAACGCCUUUUACAAGUAUUUCAAUAAACCCGUAAAAUUUCUAAGAAUUCUAAUAUUAAAAGAAAAGGUGUAACUGCCUACAUAUUUUUUUUUUUCCCCUAUGAAUACUGAAUCUUUGCUCUAUUGAAGAUACAAUGAGCGCGCGUAAAACGUAAAUAAAAUUGAUAAUGUACAUAAAUACAUAUGUGUAUAUAUAUAUAUAUGUCGAACAUAUAAGAUUAUAUAUUCGAUAUAUGUACAUAUAUAAAAAUUCCUGCCUUAAGAAAUAUAAGACUAGAAAAAUGAUUAAAUAAUGAAGUAAGACGUAUCUAACUCUUAUAGACACACACAUGGUAUAUGCGCUAAUCCGCGUUAUUUUUACCAAUUUUCGUUCCGCUUCUGAUUUUGAAUUUUUAUGUCAAUAUACGGCAGGCAGCUGGUCAAAAUCGGUAGCUGGUCAAAAUCACAUGGAAUAUCGCAUAUACGAUAUACAUAUAUAUACACACAAGACAUUUGUUACGAGCGUUUCUUACAGGUGUUGAAAAAAUGCACCAAGGUUAUACAGUUUAUGUUUUAGUAUAUCCUUUGUGGUACCUGCACCAAACUCUCGUAAAAAAAAAAAAAAAAAAAAAAAAUUAAAAAAGGUCUAUAUAAUAUAAAACAUAAACGAAAUAUAUCAUUAAAUUGUAAGAAACUUAAACAGUGAUUUAUUUUUAAAAUUAUAGGAAAGUACUAUCACAGCUUUUCUCGAAGUAGAAAAAAAAAAAAACAAUUAUAUAAAAGAAAUCAGUCAAUAUAGAGUAGCAAAGGAAAAAAACAAACAAAAUUCCAAAAAAAUUAUGAGGUAAGCUAUGAAAAAUUUGAAGAUGAUUUUUUGUUUUAUUUUUGUAUGAUAAAUUUAAGCACGUAAUUACAUUAUGAUCUGAUACUUUUUUAUUCUUGGGCGUUGAGAUUACUAUUCACCUUGGUCUCGUUUACCUCAAAAACAGCAAUUGUAUAACGUGGCGUAUAUUCGUAUCCUAGAUGCUUCCAAGUUGGACAUUUUUCUUAUUCAUCUGAUAUCGUUGUAUUUUAUUUUACUCACUUAUGCAGCGCAUCUGAACUUGAUCUCCGAUUAUGAAAUAUUUGUACAUUAAUUAAGAUCUUAAAUAUGCAACGUAACGGUACGAAAAUUAUUAUUGUGCUUUCUGUUUGUUUUAGUUGAAUUAAGUAAUGACAACAACGCGUAAUUGACUUAAUGCUAUUGAAUCGUCUGUACAAAUCAAAUGUGUAAUGAUAGGUGAAAAGAUAUUCGCUACCCUAGUAUGCUCAAUUGUUCAAUAAGGUACAUGUUUAAAAGUUCGUACAUGAAGUACCCGAUUUGUCUGAUGAUUUUCAGCUUAUCUUAUUGAAUCUCAGAUUAUAUAUAUGUGGUGUAUGAUAAAAAAUUGUGACAGCAAUUUCUGUCAAUUGUUCAACUAAAAUCAGCCCCAAAGUGAUGGAUAUUUACAUAUACGUAUAUCUAUUUUUUUUUUCAAAGCGAAUUACAGAAUUUGAAUGUGAAAAUUCCCUUGAAGCAUAUUGUGAUUACAAUAUCUUGACUUAUAUCUUCGGUGCGUUAGUGAAAAAAAAUCAACAGGGAAAAGUAUAAAUUAAUUCUGGUUAGAGUAAUAUACAAAAAAAGAAAGGGAAUUUUCAAGUUUAAGGAAAAAAGCAACGGUUGGUGUCACCUUGAUUGUAUUCUUGAUAUUUUUGACAAUUUGACAAUUAGAAGCAACAUAUUAUGUACAUAAAAUAUUGUAUAUCAUUUGAGAUGAAUUUUCGUUCGAUCAUUAAUUGAUUAAAACAUUAUUCAUGAAAAAAUGACGCGAAGCUGACUUAUGAUUGUAAUCGUGUCGCUUAAAACUAUACAUAUAUCAAUAUUACCGAUUACGAUACUUAAAAUACUCUUGUAAGUAUAUAUAUUAUAUUACGUAUAUAUACACACGUAGUAUAUCUGAAUUUUCAACUGAAUAUUUGUUUAAUGACACAUUCAAAUAACUACCACACACUUUUAAUAUUAUCACAAUUUCUAAAUAACACGCUACAGAAAUUUUUCAAUUACCACAUUUAAUCAUGAUUACUAACACUAUUAUUAAUGUUAUUAUUAUCAUUAUUAUUAGUAGCAUUGUGUAUGAAACUCUUAUUUUAGAAUUUAUGACAAAAUUGUCAUGUUUGAUGGCAACCCAUAAUUUGCUAAAUCCGCUGGUAUUAUAGACAGAAUGAAGAGCAGGAUUAGCCAGAAACUGUCUAAAUCGGAAUCACCAGUAUGGAGGAAAGAGAAAAUGUAAAAUUAAUGCAUCCGCUGGAACUUGACGGUGAAAAAUGUGGCUAAUUAUUCAAAAUAAUCUGCAUCUGGUAAAGUAAAUAGAUGGAUUAAAUUAUGACUGUUAGUCAAAUUUUUAUCUUGCUUUUAUUUUAUUUUUUUAUCAUUAAAAUCGAGACAUCGAAAGAGCUAACAGUGUUUAAUGUAUUUGACAUUGAAAUAUAUCCUAGUCGCGGAAAAAUUUCUACUGCUAGCUCCUGCAAUGAUCUUGAAAUAUUGACCCGAUUUUUAAAAUUGAAAUCGCAAACGGUGAUAGAUGGCUAUAAAAAUUAGAUUGGUGAAACUUCUUGUUAUAUUGUAACAUUCCCAAGUGAUGACAAAUGCAAAUAUUUCAUAAAUGUACGUAUAUGUUUCUAAAAUUUUGGAUUCUGACCCUUCUAAGUUCUAACUCUGCCAACUUAUGUGUUGCUCAUUUAUAGAACUGUCAGAAUUCAAGGUGGCAUGAUGUAAAACUAAAGCGCAACUAUCCAAAUGAGCAUUUCUUCCUAUUCUUAUUUGCUGCCCUAUGUUUUGCUUUCAUUCCAUUCGAAAUUACUCACUUAAAACUUGUCAAAUGAAGUAGACAUUUUUAGGCUUUGAGAUUGCAAUUUUCAAAUACUUGCAUCUGACUUCAAUCCAGGGUUAACAGAAUAUUUAAAACUCAAUCCAAUGAGUAAAUUUCAAAGAAACAACAACGAAAUUCAUAGAA